UUAAGGUUUGAAUUCAUGAUUCGUUUUACCCGCCUACUCGGUCUACUACUAAACGCACCUCUGCUGCGCGGUAGGCUUGUGGGCGGAAUCAAACACUGAUUCGAGCCUGAACAAAUCAAGAAACCCGCGCCAUGCGCGGGUUUUUUU
This is a regulatory RNA element of Erwinia sp., 147 nucleotides long. It matches the Rfam family "Leucine operon leader". From Rfam's summary of the family: At least 6 amino acid operons are known to be regulated by attenuation. In each a leader sequence of 150-200 bp is found upstream of the first gene in the operon. This leader sequence can assume two different secondary structures known as the terminator and the anti-terminator structure. The record is from Rfam. NCBI's taxonomy places the organism in Bacteria, Pseudomonadati, Pseudomonadota, Gammaproteobacteria, Enterobacterales, Erwiniaceae.